This 1371-nucleotide unclassified non-coding RNA is filed under the name Hevea brasiliensis (rubber tree). The record is from RNAcentral. Lineage: Eukaryota; Viridiplantae; Streptophyta; Magnoliopsida; Malpighiales; Euphorbiaceae.
AUCCAGCAAAGAGAGAAACUCCUUCCAUAGAGAGGGCGAGAGAGAGUCCUUCGAUAAAGGACUGUUCUGUUCGAGCUAAUCGAUUAGAGAGAGAAAGUUUAGAGAGAUAUAGAAGGAUACCUAAUUACAAAUAGAGAUUGCGUUAGAAGGUUACUCGCCGGAAUUUUACGUGGAAUCGCUGGAAUUGGGUGCGAUCUAGCCGGAAAAAGUAUCUACGGUCACCGGGAUAGGUUUGAUCUUUUGAGUUUGAAAUAAGAAGAUAAAAGGAAAAAAGAAGCAAAGAUGGUGAAUUCUAUGGUUGAACGGGCCACCAGCGACAUGUUGAUCGGGCCUGACUGGGCCAUGAACAUCGAGAUCUGUGAUAUGUGUAAUCACGACCCUGCAAUAGCAAAGGAUGUUGUUAAAGGUAUAAAGAAGCGCAUCGGAAGUAAGAAUUCGAAAGUUCAACUUCUUGCACUAACACUAUUGGAAACCAUUGUAAAGAAUUGUGGGGACAUUGUCCAUAUGCACGUUGCAGAGAAAGAUGUUCUACAUGAGAUGGUGAAGAUAGUGAAGAAAAAGCCUGAAUUUCAUGUCAAACAGAAGAUACUGAUUCUAAUAGACACCUGGCAAGAAGCUUUUGGUGGAGCAAGGGCAAGAUAUCCACAAUAUUAUGCUGCAUAUCAAGAGUUGUUGCGUGCUGGGGCUGUGUUCCCUCAGAGAUCUGAGAGGUCUGCGCCUGUAUUUACACCUACUCAGACACAACCUUUGACAUCUUAUCCUCAAAGUCUGCGGAAUAAUGAGAAUCGGCUAGAGGCAGCAGAGUCUUCUGCAGAGUCUGAGUUCCCAACAUUGAGCUUGACAGAAAUUCAGAAUGCGCGGGGUAUCAUGGAUGUCCUUGCAGAGAUGUUAAGUGCAUUAGAUCCAGGAAACAAAGUGGGACUUAGGCAGGAGGUUAUUAUUGACUUGGUGGAACAAUGCCGUACAUACAAGCAAAGAGUUAGUACAUCUUGUUAAUUCAACUGCGGAUGAAUCAUUGCUAUGCCAAGGGCUUGCAUUAAAUGAUGAUUUGCAGCGUGUACUUGCAAAGCAUGAGGCCAUUGCUUCAGGAACUCGUGCUCCUACUGCACCUGAGAAACCAAAGCCUGAAUCAGGUGGAGCACUUGUGGAUGUUGGUGGUCCGCUAGUUGAUACCGGAGGCAACAACCAAAAACCUGUUGACGGAUCUGCUUCAACUUCUGGUGUAAUGAAUCAAUUGUUACUCCCUGCACCUCCUGCAACUAAUGGUCCAACUACUUCAGCAUCUGCCAAUCCAAAAAUGGACUUGUUGAGCGGGGAUGACUUUAGCUCACCAAAGGCUGAUAAUUCACUGGCUCUUGUUCCUGUGGGAGA